CAUGUGCAUGUUUUGUAGGUUAGGUAUUCAUACAGAGAAUGACUCUAUUCCUACUCAUAAUGCCAUAUUCCUAGAAGAAGUCCUGGAAUUUUGUACUACAUCUGUUCAUUCCAGAAUCCAUGAAAAAUCUGUCCCCAACAUACCCAGGACCAUACUAACCACUGACUUAGGAAGCAGCACAGGGCACAAUAGGUUGAUAUUCAUUUUGCAAUCGAGAAAAUCAAGGCAAAUACUGGUUCAUACCUAUUUUGUUAAACUCAUAGAAAAUACGAAGUAAAAUUCAGGAGCCCCCAAUCUUUACUUGUCAAAUAGAAAGCUGCCAAUGAAUAUUUGUGAGUGAGUGUAAGGAGACAAGAAAGUGUUUGCAUUACUGGAUUACACUGCCUCCCAAAGAGCAGCAUAAACACUGAGACUGGAAUGGCAAACAGCACGCUCUACUUACCAGAAUCGUUCUUGUGCUGUGAAAGGGACAUCAGAAUGGUUUUCUAAUAUCUUCACUCAGGAAAGAUCCUGUCUGCAAAGAGGCCCGUGACAGGUUUGCUAUUAGGUCGACGCCUCUCAUUAAACUCGCAUCUCCAGACACUCAGGGGAUGAAAGAGAAUCUCUCCAUGCUGACUGGCUGACACCUAAGAGUUUCCUCUGGCCACUUUCAAGGGCAACAUGAGGCCAGAGCAACAGAAGAAGCUGUUGGAAAGAGAAUUUAGGGGAAUCCAUACGCAAAAGAACAUUUGGAGAAUUGAAAUACAAAACCUGGUCUUCUGACCCUUUCAAAAGCUCCCUCAGCCCGCAGCUGUCAACACCCUGCAAGCACACGGAGAGCAAUUGCUGUUCCCAGGCCACAUGCAAACGCAGGCCCCCAAGGUCAGCCACAGAAUCUCACUUGCCUGGAAUCACAGCCUGGUGGGUGGGUGGAACCACCCGUUAGAAUCACAGUACUCUAGACUAUUUCACAUGUACUUUACCUGCAGAAUCUUUUCUUCAAAAGAAAGGCUAGUGACACUGUCUUAGUGAACCAGAUAGAAAUGGAGCUGUUUGGUGGGGGAGGCCUGAGAGCACUGCAUGGUCUGCCCAAACCCCCCUCACAGCGUCCUGGGGAGCACCAGCCUGGAACACAACUGGAAAGCCCCUGGAAAGGACCAGUAUCAGGUCCCUUAUUUGAGAUGAGAAAAUGGCUGUAUCAUUUGUGGCCUGCGUGUGUUGUGUCUGGUUCUCGUGGUUUGUUUUCCUGCUUUGAAAACGAAACUGUUCGUGGCUCAGAGAUGGAAAGCAGACCACAUUUUGUCAGCGAGGCCAUUCGUCAUGUCCCCCAGAGGGGGCUGUGAACUCCUGCAGCCUUGUGCUCUGCCAGCUCAAGGACCACCCAUGUUGCCGAGCUCAGAAGGCCACCAGGCAGAGCUGGGCAUGAGGCUCUGCUAUCCAGCUGGCCUGAGGCCUCUGCCAGCUCCCACCCACCCCUGGGGACGCAGGUCUGAAAUAAACCGGUGUGAGGGUCCUGGGAGACUAGAUUCUACCUGGCGGGCCAGGCCUCUCGCAGGGUGAAUCUGAGGUAGGCUCUGGGUAAACUUGCAAAAAUGUCCAGCGUGAACAGAGCUUCUCAGACCUGCUUCAGAGCACAACCUGGUGAGGAAAUCAUUUGCUCCAUUAAAAGUUGUUUGGCUAUGUUUGAGUUGAACUCGUUUUUUUCUGUUCUGCAGAAAGCUGGUUGUAAAAUGCUCUGACAUACAGCAAAGAACUUCUGUUAGCAAAUGUCUGCACCUGCUGGGUGGGGGAACCAAAGGAGACCUGCAGAGGCAUCAGUGCAAAAAGAAGUUCCUGAUGCAGCUGUCCCAGGCAGGCUGGCAUUUCUCAGCAACUCUGUCAGACUCACCUGGAAACUUACUAAAGAUGCCAUAGUGGUCUGCAGUGGCCCACCCAAACCUUUGGGGCUGGCAGCCUGGAAUCUGCAUUGAAAACAAGUG
This is a long non-coding RNA of Rhinolophus ferrumequinum (greater horseshoe bat), 1958 nucleotides long. RefSeq lists it as uncharacterized. Lineage: Eukaryota; Metazoa; Chordata; Mammalia; Chiroptera; Rhinolophidae. The transcript is spliced from 6 exons. The record is from RefSeq and is a predicted model, not a curated record.